AAGGAAUAUUGCGCAAUGGGCGAAAGCCUGACGCAGCGACGCCGCGUGGGGGAUGAAGGUCUUCGGAUUGUAAACCCCUUUCGGGAGGGAAGAUGGGAUGGGGUAACCCCUUCGGACGGUACCUCCAGAAGCAGCCACGUCUAACUUCGUGCCAGCAGCCGCGGUAAUACGAAGGUGGCAAGCGUUGUUCGGAUUCACUGGGCGUACAGGGUGUGUAGGCGGUUUGGUAAGCCUUCUGUUAAAGCUUCGGGCCCAACCCGGAAAGCGCAGAGGGUACUGCCAGGCUAGAGGGCGGGAGAGGAGCGCGGAAUUCCCGGUGUAGCGGUGAAAUGCGUAGAGAUCGGGAGGAAGGCCGGUGGCGAAGGCGGCGCUCUGGAACGUACCUGACGCUGAGACACGAAAGCGUGGGGAGCAAAC
Molecule: ribosomal RNA, 417 nt
Filed under: uncultured bacterium
Lineage: Bacteria
Description: bacterial SSU rRNA
Rfam family: Bacterial small subunit ribosomal RNA
Source: RNAcentral